RNAcentral lists this long non-coding RNA (2479 nucleotides) under Citrus sinensis (sweet orange). RNAcentral's name for it is "long non-coding RNA (CSIN_LNC005394)". The record is from RNAcentral. Lineage: Eukaryota; Viridiplantae; Streptophyta; Magnoliopsida; Sapindales; Rutaceae.
GAAUAUAACACUCUCAAUACAAUUCAAGAUACAACAAACUCCAGUGCUCAACAUCCUCAACUAAAAUGCUGAGUUUUAUAUCUCCAGGGUCUCAAAAGAUAAUAUUAUAACUAAUAUUAAUAUCUCAGUUUAUUCUUAAUCCCAAAAGAAGAAUAUAACAAAAUUAUACAAUCCCAAAAGAACAAGAUGACCAAGAUGUCCUAACAAAAACAUCUAUAUCUUCUAACACCAUCACGUGGCCAAGAUUCAAAAUAUAUUUACAGUUGCUAGGUCGGUCUGGUGUACCUGCAACCUCCUAGUGAGGGGGGAAAAAUAUAAUUAAAACGGGGUGAGUUUAAAACUCAGUGAGUGGAUAGUAGUUUUGAAAAUUAAUUCUUACUUUAAAAGAAAUAAUCAUCUCAUUUCCAAACACGAUUUCAUUAAACCAUAAGCGAGAAACCAAUAAUAAAUCAUUAAACAUUUAAAUCAGAUUACUAACCAUGGAAAUCAUAUCACAAUAUCAUAUAGAAUUCACAAAUCUGAAAAUCGUCACCAAACAAGUACCCCGGAAAAUAAUCUCAUCAUAUCCGGACCUCAACGGACGGGCAAUGACGUACUAUCUGGGUAACGUCACGCCCCGGAGCUACACGGAUAGAUAGGGAAAUACCAUCUCAUAUCUCAUCAUAUCUCAUCAUAUCUGUGCAUGCAUAAUAAAACGCCCAAGCACACGGCCCAAAGCCUCUAUGUGUACUCAGACGGGCCCCAAAGGCCUGUAACUCAUCUGUAUCAUCUGUAUCUCAAUAUCUGUAUCAUAUGUAUCUCAAUAUCUGUCUGUAUCUCAUAUCUGUAUCUCUAUAAUCAUCAUACUGUAUGCAUGUGCCCCCAAAAGGUAAAAGCGUCCAAACACACGGCCCAAAGCCUCUAUGUGUGUUCAGAUGGGCCCCAAAGGCCUCUCAUCUCAUAUCACAUGUAUCACUGUAUCUGGAGGGGAAGGGUACUGUCUAAUGAUUUCAAAAACAAUCAUUAUACUCAUAGUCACAUACAUUUUAAUCAUACUUUAAAUCAUACCACAUUUGAAUCCACGUUUCUCAUCUUUAAAAUACUAUCAUGCUUAUUCAAAGUCGAUACAUAAAAUCAUUAACCAAACAUUUAAUAAAAUAUCAAUGUGUGAAUAAAAUCCAUUUCGAAGAAAUCAUUAAAUCAGAACAUUUAAAAUACUUAUUUCUCAAACAUAUUUUACUAUCAUAAUUAACUAUGAAAAUAGGUUUUGUAUAUUCCACUCACAGUGAUGGUGUUCACAGUCGGUUAUCGUCCACGUCCGCGGAUCGGUUCUGGCUCGCAGAUCCUCCUAAAUCAAGGAAACGACAUAAGUAUUUUCCGUAAAUCGAAAUUACGACUCAAUUUAUGCAAUAAACUCGAAACGAACAUCUAUCCAUAAUUGACAACUCCCGUGUCCAUAAAAUUACCAAAAUGCCCUUGAGUCCGUAAAUCAUUAACAUACUUCGAAAUCGUAAAUCACCGAAUUACCCUCGAAAUCGUAAUUACACCCAAUCCUCAAUUCUAGGAAUUACUAAAAUAUUCACAGGCUCAGAAAUUACAAAAUUGCCCUCAUAGUGUGAAAUUACCAAAAUGCCCUUGCCGGUCAACGGUCACCGAAAAUUGGUCAACGCUGGCUAGGAAGCUCAAAUCUGAAAGUUCCAAUCACGCUGAGUUCAAUGGUACCGGCGGUGAGCUCCAACGCGCGGCAACGGCGCCGGAAUCGAGCUCGGCAGUCGUGAAUUCCAACAAUCGACCGGCGGCAAAACAAUGACUCUCGGUGCCUAUGGAUGGUCGGAAAUGGAAGAGGGAGUCGUGGGGAACAAAAUCCAACUGGUGGUGUCACCCAAAAUCGGCGAAAAUCCUGGCGGAACAAAGUGAAAUAGUCGCGGGUUUCAAGCUUCGAUCGCCGGCGUUCCGGUUAGUUUUCGGCGGCGAGGAUGGCAGGGGAACGACGGUCGGCUUCUAAGCUUCAGAUUGGUACCAAGCUCAGCCGAAACGGUGGCCGGAAAUGGGAGAUAUGGUCGGGUCAAGGUUGCGGGUUCCGGGUCGGGUUUUCGGGUCGGGUUGACGGCUUCUCUCUCUCACUCUCUCACACACGUGUAGCUUCUGUUUUUGCUCUGUUUUUUUCUAGCUUCUUCUUUUCUUUAUUAAUAAAAGCCUUAACCGCCUCAUUUUAUUUUGAAAUUCACAUAUGUUACAUUGUUACCAAAAUGCCCUUGAGUCCGUAAAUCAUUAACAUGCUCCGAAAUCGUAAAUCACCGAAUUACCCUUGGAAUCGUAAUUACACCCAAUCCUCAAUUUUAGGAAUUACUAAAAUAUCCACAGGCUCAGAAAUUACAAAAUUGCCCUCAUAGUGUGAAAUUACCAAAAUGCCCUUGCCGGUCAACGAUCACCGAAAUUUGGUCAAUGCUGGCUAGGAAGCUCAAAUCUGAAAGUUCCAAUCACGCUGAGUUCAAUGGUA